GUGCCAGCCGCCGCGGUAAUACGAAGGGUGCAAGCGUUAAUCGGAAUUACUGGGCGUAAAGCGCGCGUAGGUGGUUUGUUAAGUUGAAUGUGAAAGCCCCGGGCUCAACCUGGGAACUGCAUCCAAACUGGCAAGCUAGAGUAUGGCAGAGGGUGGUGGAAUUUCCUGUGUAGCGGUGAAAUGCGUAGAUAUAGGAAGGAACACCAGUGGCGAAGGCGACCACCUGGGCUACUACUGACACUGAGGUGCGAAAGCGUGGGGAGCAAACAGGAUUAGAUACCCUAGUAGUCC
RNAcentral lists this ribosomal RNA (291 nucleotides) under uncultured bacterium. RNAcentral's name for it is "partial 16S ribosomal RNA". It matches the Rfam family "Bacterial small subunit ribosomal RNA", at positions 505 to 796 of the family's 1533-position model. The record is from RNAcentral.